Molecule: long non-coding RNA, 743 nt
Organism: Myotis lucifugus (little brown bat)
Lineage: Eukaryota; Metazoa; Chordata; Mammalia; Chiroptera; Vespertilionidae
Exons: 2
Source: RefSeq, a predicted model, not a curated record
ACCGCCAGACCCAUAAACACACCUUCUGGCGACCGGUCGUUUGGCCGUUCCAGCCACUGGCCUUUUAUAAUACAGAUGGUACCGUUUCCCAUACGAACACUUGUAAACCGUUCGCCCCACCCUGUGUAGCAAGGAAACAGUAAGAAGACAUCACUUGUGAACAGCUGAGCCUUUAACCGAAUGGCAGCAGGAAUGAGAUGGAGGUGAGAAGCCGAGCCUGUUAUAGUCUAAACGCAGCCUCGACGUCAGCAAUGCACCUCCCCGGCCUUCAAGUCUGUUCCUUCCGUUUGACGGAGUCACCGGUUCAAGGAAGAGGCUGAACCCUACGAAUUCUAGGUCCCGGGGAGACUCACAUGUGCUGGCCCAAGGGGAAGAAGUGACAUCUGUGUCUGAAAGGCGCGUUACCGAACAGCCUGAGCAGGUGCGGCGCCCCGUACACCUGGGACAUGGGCGCGUCGGGGUGGUCGGCGAGGAUCUCGGCGUACUGCGGCCGCUCGAACUUGUAGAGCAGCUGCGUGCCCAGCAUGACGUUGAAGUACUCCUUGAUCCCGGCCACCACCUCGUUCACCGCGUACUCCCUGGCAAACGAGCAGAGACCAGUCACACCCAGACAGCCCAUGGAAAGAACUGAGAGGCGGGGACUGAUUCAUCACCGUGCGGCCAGGGACGAAGGUCAAGGUUAAAUAAUGAGAUGAGGGUCAGGGCAAAAUAUGUGUAUUUACAAAUAAAAUGAGAUGAAAUCU